This 230-nucleotide ribosomal RNA is filed under the name uncultured bacterium. RNAcentral's name for it is "partial 16S ribosomal RNA". It matches the Rfam family "Bacterial small subunit ribosomal RNA", at positions 118 to 345 of the family's 1533-position model. The record is from RNAcentral.
UGAGCAAUCUGCCUAGAUGUGGGGGGAUAGCCGGCCCAACGGCCGGGUAAUACCGCAUACGCUCUCCUGGUGGCAUCACCGGGUGAGGAAACUUUCGAGGCGUCUAGAGGAGCUCGCGGCCUAUCAGCUAGUUGGUGAGGUAAUGGCUCACCAAGGCUUUGACGGGUAGCUGGUCUGAGAGGAUGGCCAGCCACAGUUGGGACUGAGAUACCGGCCCAGAUCCGUACGGG